RNAcentral lists this ribosomal RNA (254 nucleotides) under uncultured bacterium. Its description in RNAcentral is "partial 16S ribosomal RNA". It matches the Rfam family "Bacterial small subunit ribosomal RNA", at positions 524 to 776 of the family's 1533-position model. The record is from RNAcentral.
UACAGGGGGUGCAAACGUUGCUCGGAAUCAUUGGGCGUAAAGCGCACGUAGGCGGUUCGUUAUGUCGGAUGUGAAAGCCCUUGGCUUAACCGAGGAAGUGCAUCCGAAACUGGCGAGCUAGAGUACUAAAGAGGAUCGCGGAAUUCCCGGUGUAGAGGUGAAAUUCGUAGAUAUCGGGAGGAACACCGGUGGCGAAGGCGGCGAUCUGGGUGAGAUACUGACGCUGAGGUGCGAAAGCGUGGGGAGCAAACAGG